This 570-nucleotide small RNA is filed under the name Pongo abelii (Sumatran orangutan). RNAcentral describes it as "processed transcript". Lineage: Eukaryota; Metazoa; Chordata; Mammalia; Primates; Hominidae. The record is from RNAcentral.
GUUCGCGGGGUCCAUGGGGAAUUCGGUAUCGCUGGUUCAGAUCUCGCAGAGCUCAGAGUCCUGCACGCCUCAGUCCUCGCCUCGCUCCUCCUCGCGGAGGAUUCUGGGAGGUGACGUCGCGGGUCUCGGUCGCGGGGCCCGUUUGCAGAGCCCGCGGCGCCGGGAGGACUUUGUUCUUCUUCAGAAGAGAAAACUGAAAAAGGAGGAAUGGCUGUGGGGCUUUGUAAAGCCAUGUCCCAGGGGUUGGUGACCUUCAGAGAUGUGGCGCUAGACUUUUCCCAAGAAGAGUGGGAAUGGCUGAAGCCAUCUCAGAAGGAUUUAUACAGAGAUGUCAUGUUGGAGAACUACAGGAACUUGGUAUGGCUUGAGUCUUGCUCUUGUCACCCAGGCUGGAGUGCAGUGGUGCGAUCUCGGCUCACUGCAACCUCCGCCUCCUGGGUAGCGAUUCUGCUGCCUCAGCCUCCUUAGUAGCAGGGAUUACAGGCACCUGCCACCACUCCCAGCUAAUUUUUGUACUUUUAGUAGAGAUGGGGUUUCUCCAUGUUGGCCAAGCUGGUCUCGAACUCCUGA